GGGUGCAGCAGGCGCGAAAACUUCGCAAUGGGGGAAACCCCGACGAGGGAAUUCCAAGUGCUAGCACUUUGUGUUAGCUGUUCUUCUGUCUAAAAAACAGGAGAAGUAAGGGGCGGGUAAGACGGGUGCCAGCCGCCGCGGUAAUACCCGCGCCCCGAGUGGUGGUCGAUAUUAUUGAGCCUAAAACGUCCGUAGCCGGUCUUCUAAAUCCUUGGGUAAAUCGGGCAGCUUAACUGUCCGAAUUCCGGGGAGACUGGGAGACUUGGGACCGGGAGAGGUCAAAGGUACUUCUGGGGUAGGGGUAAAAUCCUGUAAUCCUGGAAGGACCACCGGUGGCGAAGGCGUCUGACUAGAACGGAUCCGACGGUGAGGGACGAAGCCCUGGGGCGCAAACGGGAUUAGAUACCCCGGUAGUCCAGGGUGUAAACGCUGCGGGCUUGGUGUUGGGGGUCCUUAGUGGGCGCCCAGUGCCGGAGAGAAGUUGUUAAGCCUGCUGCUUGGGGAGUAUGUCCGCAAGGAUGAAACUUAAAGGAAUUGGCGGGGGAGCAC
Molecule: ribosomal RNA, 549 nt
Filed under: uncultured archaeon
Lineage: Archaea
Description: bacterial SSU rRNA
Rfam family: Archaeal small subunit ribosomal RNA
Source: RNAcentral